Molecule: ribosomal RNA, 253 nt
Filed under: uncultured bacterium
Lineage: Bacteria
Description: partial 16S ribosomal RNA
Rfam family: Bacterial small subunit ribosomal RNA
Source: RNAcentral
UACGGAGGGGGCGAGCGUUGUCCGGAAUCACUGGGCGUAAAGGGCGCGUAGGCGGCCUGAUAAGUCGGGGGUGAAAUCCUGCGGCUUAACCGCAGGGCUGCCUUCUAAACUGUCAGGCUGGAGCACAGUAGAGGCAGGUGGAAUUCCCGGUGUAGCGGUGGAAUGCGUAGAGAUCGGGAAGAACAUCAGUGGCGAAGGCGGCCUGCUGGGCUGUUGCUGACGCUGAGGCGCGACAGCGUGGGGAGCAAACAGG